GAACGUAGGGCGCGAGGCGUUGUCCGGAUUUAUUGGGCGUAAAGAGCUCGUAGGCGGCUUGUCGCGUCGACUGUGAAAUCCCGCGGCUCAACUGCGGGUCUGCAGUCGAUACGGGCAGGCUAGAGUUCGGUAGGGGAGACUGGAAUUCCUGGUGUAGCGGUGAAAUGCGCAGAUAUCAGGAGGAACACCGAUGGCGAAGGCAGGUCUCUGGGCCGAUACUGACGUGAGGAGCGAAAGCGUGGGGAGCGAAACAGG
Molecule: ribosomal RNA, 255 nt
Filed under: uncultured bacterium
Lineage: Bacteria
Description: partial 16S ribosomal RNA
Rfam family: Bacterial small subunit ribosomal RNA
Source: RNAcentral